This 497-nucleotide ribosomal RNA is filed under the name uncultured bacterium. RNAcentral's name for it is "partial 16S ribosomal RNA". It matches the Rfam family "Bacterial small subunit ribosomal RNA", at positions 28 to 507 of the family's 1533-position model. The record is from RNAcentral.
GAUGAACGCUGGCGGCGUGCCUAAUACAUGCAAGUCGAGCGAACAGACGAGGAGCUUGCUCCUCUGACGUUAGCGGCGGACGGGUGAGUAACACGUGGAUAACCUACCUAUAAGACUGGGAUAACUUCGGGAAACCGGAGCUAAUACCGGAUAAUAUAUUGAACCGCAUGGUUCAAUAGUGAAAGACGGUUUUGCUGUCACUUAUAGAUGGAUCCGCGCCGCAUUAGCUAGUUGGUAAGGUAACGGCUUACCAAGGCGACGAUGCGUAGCCGACCUGAGAGGGUGAUCGGCCACACUGGAACUGAGACACGGUCCAGACUCCUACGGGAGGCAGCAGUAGGGAAUCUUCCGCAAUGGGCGAAAGCCUGACGGAGCAACGCCGCGUGAGUGAUGAAGAUCUUCGGAUCGUAAAACUCUGUUAUUAGGGAAGAACAAAUGUGUAAGUAACUAUGCACGUCUUGACGGUACCUAAUCAGAAAGCCACGGCUAACUACGUG